CGAAGGUGAGGUCAUCGGUAGUGGCGGCGGAGAAGAAGGGAAAAUUAUCGGGAUUAUUAGGGUUAGAAGGUGGUGGAGCGGUUUCGGAUUCUUCUAGAAACGUACCGUUGCAAUUAGGGCACGUGAGUUCGGAGUUUGGCGAUGGCGUAAUGGUAACUGUCUGUUCACAUUGGUAGCAGUGAUAAUUCUGCGGUUGAUUGCCGGUGGCACCGCCUCCUCCUCCACCGCUACCAAAAGUUCCGGGCGACGACAUUUUGUUUUUGUCUAUAUAUGGAUUCUCCGUAUGGAGAAAGAGAUGUAAGUUCGGAGUUUGGUGAUGGCGUAAUGGUAACUGUCUGUUCACAUUGGUAGCAGUGAUAAUUCUGCGGUUGAUUGCCGGUAGCACCGCCUCCUCCUCCACCGGUACCAAAAGUUCCGGGCGACGACAUUUUUUUUUUUGUCUAUAUAUGGAUUCUCCGUACGGAGAAAGAGAGAAGAAAGAAGAAACGAAGGGAAACUGAAAUUUAGAGAGAGAAGAAGAGAAAAUCGAUGCGAGAGAGAAGUUAGGGGAAUUUGAGAAAUGGAUGAAAAGAAGAGAAAGAGGGG
This 585-nucleotide long non-coding RNA is filed under the name Nicotiana benthamiana. RNAcentral describes it as "long non-coding RNA (NBEN_LNC032180)". The record is from RNAcentral. Lineage: Eukaryota; Viridiplantae; Streptophyta; Magnoliopsida; Solanales; Solanaceae.